UAGCAACUAGCCGCUCUGUUUGUCCUGCACUUUUUCCUCGAUAACGAGUACAAUGUACAAGCAACAACCGUGUCAAACAUCAACCUGUAUUGUCUCUUUCUAUUUUCUACCUAUUAUCCCUGGCAUCCCUUUCGAUUUGUCCGACGCAAACAGAAACGAUGUCGUGCAUACACGUGAAUGUUUGCGCCACGUUCACGGAUCCUUAAAAAAUUCUUACUACCCUAUUGAUGCAAUCACAGUGACGACGCGACGAUUGUUUGCGGAGUAUUAAUCGAUGCUAAUCCAAUUAAAAGUGGAAGUCGUUGCGAGUCGGCGUCUCCCCUCUCGUUUCUCGUUAUCAGCCGAUGGAAAUACAAGAGGGACGAGAGUUUUCUGCAGAAGGAUGCUGCAAUUAGUCGUCGUUUCUCCCGUUGCCAACUUUCAACGUCGAACCUCUUUUCUUCAUCCUCCUUCUCCUGUUUCAUUCCCUAUCCUCUUCCAUUACUUCUCCUCCAUCUUUUCCUUUUUCUUUACGUCGUCGUUUUCUCGCACCACUUGUCGGUCCGCUCGAAUCCCACCCACUUCCGGGCUGAUUCAUUCGUACCUUCGAUAUUCCUGUAGAAUCCGUAAGCGUGCCUCGAUAAAAGUUUCCAAUCGAGUUCCUUUGCAGUCGUUAAGAGACAAUUCCUUCCUCUCGUUUCUCUAAUUCGAACAAGCCUUAGCCACCGACAUUCUUCGACGACUCUUAUCGCGGCUAUACGUUUCUCUUUCGAUUAUACUUCCGUCGUCUAUCUUUUCCUUCCUCGGUUUGAUCCUUGAUACAUCGCGUCGUCGAUAAGGAUUUUUCGCUGAAAUCUAUUCUUAAAUGGAGUUUCCUUUCACGGGUUAUCGCCUGGCGUACUAGUACGGUUUUUUAGGUAGACAAUUCUGAAAAUAUUUUGAAAGAUGAGAAAGGACAGGUUGAAGAUGAAUGUUGAAGUAUUACGGAUAGAUAAUAAUCUGGUAUACAAUAGUUUGGUAUAUGAGUAUUAUUAUGUCGUAUGAAGCGUGAUUUCUGAGGGAGGCAACUUGGAAAACAUUUUUAAAGAUGAGAAAGGAUAGAUCAAAGGUGAAAGCUGAAAGUAUUAUGGAUAGGUUAUUGUGUGGAAUACAAAUGGUUGUCGUGUUAUACGAAGUACGAAUUUCGAGGGGGUAAAUUUUGAAAGUAUUUUUCAGAAUGGAUAGAUCGAAAGAUGAGGUAUUAAAGAUAUUAAAACUAUGAAACGAAGAUUGUUCGACCGUUCGCGGAGAGAUGUGUUCGCGAUAGAUAGCGUCAACGGAAGUCGUAAUUUCCAUUACGAUUAAUUAAUCGACGCCACGAAAUGAUCGAUCCCUAUUUCGUUUAGGAUAAUAAAGGUGGUUGAACUGAUUAUAAUACUGAGCCAGAAUACAAGUUAAGACGAGAUACAGUGGGUACAGUGACGGAUCAGAGAGCAAACAGAAAAUUAACUAGAAACUCCUUUUUUGUGACGAAGGUAUUUAUACUGAACCGGGGAUGGUCUUUGGUCGCCUCACUAUAGGUUAUUUACGAGUAGAAAUCCUGGGAAAAAUGGGAAGACGUUUCCCCAUUUUUCAUUGGCUGGAACAAUAGCCCUAAGGAAUGUCUCGAUGUGACCUCUAUGUUGCAGCAAUUAAUGGCCUUGAAAUUAAAGUAAAAAGGACGAUAUUUAAUUUGCGACCAUGCCUCAGGAUUAUUGCAGUCCGACCUAUGAUGUUUGUACCGCUUGUAUAUUCGUCCAGUCGCGGGGAGACGCGAUCGCGUUGAGGCGCGUCAACGGGAGUCGUAAAUUCCCGUUACGAUUAUACGAAUCGACACCGCGAGCAGGGCGGUAGAGUUGACUAUCCGAGUUAUGUUAGAGCAAAGUACUUGACUUUUCGAAGAGUGUAAGAGCAGUAUACUUGACUGUCCGAGGAGUAGAAGAGCAGUAUACUUGACUGUCCGAGGAGUAGAAGAACAGUGACUUGACUCUCCGAGGAGUAAAAGAACAGUGACUUGACUCUCCGAGGAGUAGAAGAGCAGUGAUUGACCCAUCUCGUACUAUUUAGGAGGAAAGUUCGAUGUGAGUGUACCCUUUCUGAACUAAGGACGCGGAUUCGUUGUUUACACUUUUCUCCGUAAUUAGCAAGAGUGUGCAAUGAACCCAAGGACCGUUCAAAGGACCAUCCGUAAACCGAAAAUACUUGUGGGAAUAGAAGUUAAGCUGGAAAGAUUCGGUUUAUGGUGGUUUCUUGUGUUUCUUGCAGGUUAGUGUAACGAGGGGUAGGCCUUGGCGGCCAGAUCGAAAGGAACGUCGCACGGAUCAUCUCGCGCGACGUAACACCGUUAGUGGUCCGACCGAGGGACGGAAUUCAGCCCGUAACAGAUAACGAGACUUAACAGACAUUGUUAAGAAAAUUCGAAUUUUACAUAAGAAAAACUCAGUAGAACUCUCAAUCGCUAUCGAUUUCAUAAUUUUAUUGUAUGGGCAUGUAAUAUUUUCAUUCGGAUAUCGAAAAUUCUGUCACGUAGUAAACACGUGACAUCUUCAAUUUGUUUGCUCGAGUGCAUCGAAAUUUCAUUUGUUGUUUUCUACUCCAUUUUAUAAGGAACAUUUUUAUCAUACUUCGUUCGAGGAUAAAGUAUUUGAUGAUAUCGUUCGAUUUAUUGUUUCUGUUUCAUACCAGCGCUCAACUACGUAGGAAGACAACACCUGCAAAUCAACUACACGCAACAUAUUCACCGUUGUUUAACAUAUACAGAAACUUAUUUUUCCUCAUUUUUCUAUUUAUUACUCUUUUUCGUAGCUUCGUAAAUUAUAUUUACAAACUAAAGCUGUCGAAAAUUGUGAAUAUCAUGUUGAUUUCAUCUAACUAUAAUGGAAAAGUGCAUAUUUAAUACAUCGUAUUACUGGAGAUCAAGAUUUACUUUGCGAUCUUUGCGUUCUUCUACUUCCGUGAAUUUCGAGGGCGGAUAUUAGAUUCGUAGUAUAGUACACAUAGCGGAGUGACCAACGAAGAGUCUAUUUACAGAAUGGCAAGAGUAAUCAGAUUAUUUCUGAUCUGAAAAAUACGACAGACUGGAUUCAUGAUUGAAAUUUUCUACUUCGAAUCGUUCGAUUAUUCGUUUUGUAUUAUCGAUUACUUUUAUUUAUUAAUUGCUGCGUAUUGACACCUGUGUAGUCCAGUUUUAUUGCUUUUCUCUGGCUAUUUUAUAAUUUAAGAAAUGCAGUCAACUGUUAUGAACGCUGGUCAUUUAUGUCGGUAUGAAUUGAUUAAUCGUGAUACAUUAAAAUUUUUAUGAAAAAGAUUAAAUUUUUGGAUUGAAGCAGUCGAAAAUCGUAUAGUAUUAUCAUACAUUAUUUUUCUCAUAAUAAUAAAACCUUUUAUAAUAAUAAUGUCCUUUUUUGUAAUUAUAUUACUAAUAUCUUUAUUUGGUUUUCGCUCCGAGGUAACAUUAAAGUGAAAUUACAGUGCCACGAUUUCUUUAAUCAUAAAAGAUAUAACUUAGAAAACACAAAGUUGGCACCCCGCUGGGGGUAGUCACCCACAUGCUAUAUUUAUUUUUAUUUUAUCUUUUUUAUUACCAAUGAGAUAUAACACUUUACCAAAUGUCCUUCAGGACAAAUUGUAAAAACCAAAAUAAACUAUAUAAAAAAAAAAAACGAUUUCUUUAGAACAAUCGAAAUUCAUAUUAUAAAGUAGCGUAAGAAAGUUGAUUAAAUGUACCGAUUUAAUGUAAUAAAUUAAUUACGACACGCGAUACAUGUAUAUAAAUAAAAAAAAAGUUCACUCGUCCGCAUGUAUUUAUAACGAAGAGAAGUAUAUGUUAAAAAAAAUUGUAAAUUUGUAUCGUUAUAAACAGGUAUGAUGGUAAUAUAAAAAGGGAUUGAAAGAAUCCAAAAUAAAGAGCAAAGAUGAAACAAAAGAAAAAAAUAGUAAAAUAAAAUGGCAAGUACGUGAAAUAAAUUCUCCUUUCUAUAGCGAUUUCAGCAACUAUUUUUUUUUUUUUUUUUU
Molecule: long non-coding RNA, 4011 nt
Organism: Bombus pascuorum
Lineage: Eukaryota; Metazoa; Arthropoda; Insecta; Hymenoptera; Apidae
Exons: 2
Source: RefSeq, a predicted model, not a curated record